CUCGUAGGAAAUGGUGUUCUCGUAAGUCAGGCUGCCCCAGUGAAGCAGCCGCAAGCUUUGCUUAGUGCUCAGAGCUUUCACUUGCAUUGCUGGCGCUGCCGGGAGCCUCCAAGGACUGAACUGUCCACUAGCUCCGGGUGCUGAAUGCGUUCAACCAUUUUGGGAUCUGUUGCUGUGAGUGACAUCUAUUCCAAGCACCCAGAGAGAACUAAUGGAGGACACAGAUGGGAAUAGGAUGCCAGGCAAGCACAGAGGAAGAAAUCAGGGAAUCACCAGGACUGGAAGUACAGCAGCCAUUGGAUAAUGGGACGGGAUCAGUCGGCAACUCUGUGGAUUCUCCUUCUCCUUCCUCUGUAGGGGAAAUAUAGUUAUGGAUUUAUUGCCCCGGUGCAGCAGUUCCAGCAGCAGCCGCAGCAGCAACAGCCUCAGCAGAUUUCUGACUCUCUUCGGUGACGGGUAUUCUUGGGUGGAUAAUACGGAUUACGUUGUUAUUGCUUAAGAAUACGCGUAGUCGAGGAGAGUACCCGCGGCAGGCAGGCAGGCAGCGGCCGCCCCCAGCCCAGCAGCUGGCUCCUAAUCUACUAUAGUUGCCAAGGUAGCCCCUUUUUAAUCUUUUCCUGCACUUUGCUAUGUCUCUAUGUCUGUGAUU
RNAcentral lists this long non-coding RNA (649 nucleotides) under Gopherus agassizii (Agassiz's desert tortoise). RNAcentral describes it as "lncRNA (ENSGAGG00000009401.1)". The stretch from base 446 to 516 matches the Rfam family "mir-137 microRNA precursor family". Lineage: Eukaryota; Metazoa; Chordata; Testudines; Testudinidae. The record is from RNAcentral.